AGUAACACGUGGGUAACCUGCCUUAUAGUGGGGGAUAGCCUUUCGAAAGGAAGAUUAAUACCGCAUAAGAUUGUAGUAUCGCAUGAUAUAGCAAUUAAAGGAGCAAUUCGCUAUAAGAUGGACCCGCGUCGCGUUAGCUAGUUGGUGAGGUAAUGGCUCACCAAGGCGACGAUGCGUAGCCGACCUGAGAGGGUGAUCGGCCACAUUGGGACUGAGACACGGCCCAGACUCCUACGGGAGGCAGCAUG
RNAcentral lists this ribosomal RNA (248 nucleotides) under uncultured bacterium. RNAcentral's name for it is "partial 16S ribosomal RNA". It matches the Rfam family "Bacterial small subunit ribosomal RNA", at positions 109 to 353 of the family's 1533-position model. The record is from RNAcentral.